CUAGUUUAAAUAUAAAAAAUGUUUUGUAUAUCUUUAAAGAGGACUCUGUUUAUUUAAAUAAGGUAAAAAAGAAGAAAAAAAAAACAAUAAAGUCUUAAUGGGGCAGCGAACAUUUUUUUUCCAUAUGGUUAAAUUAGAUUCAUCCAAAGGCUAAUAAAUUAUUAAAGUCCAUAUGUCCAUUAGCCAAUAUAUUCCUUGCGCAAUUAUCUC
This 210-nucleotide long non-coding RNA is filed under the name Lathyrus oleraceus (garden pea). RNAcentral's name for it is "Pisum sativum (pea) long non-coding RNA (PSAT_LNC022648)". The record is from RNAcentral. Lineage: Eukaryota; Viridiplantae; Streptophyta; Magnoliopsida; Fabales; Fabaceae.